AUGCACGCUGGCGGCGUGCCUCAUACAUGCAAGUCGAGCGAACGGACGAGAAGCUUGCUUCUCUGAUGUUAGCGGCGGACGGGUGAGUAACACGUGGAUAACCUACCUAUAAGACUGGGAUAACUUCGGGAAACCGGAGCUAAUACCGGAUAAUAUUUUGAACCGCAUGGUUCAAAAGUGAAAGACGGUCUUGCUGUCACUUAUAGAUGGAUCCGCGCUGCAUUAGCUAGUUGGUAAGGUAACGGCUUACCAAGGCAACGAUGCAUAGCCGACCUGAGAGGGUGAUCGGCCACACUGGAACUGAGACACGGUCCAGACUCCUACGGGAGGCAGCAGUAGGGAAUCUUCCGCAAUGGGCGAAAGCCUGACGGAGCAACGCCGCGUGAGUGAUGAAGGUCUUCGGAUCGUAAAACUCUGUUAUUAGGGAAGGACAUAUGUGUAAGUAACUGUGCACAUCUUGACGGUACCUAAUCAGAAAGCCACGGCUAACUACGUG
Molecule: ribosomal RNA, 496 nt
Filed under: uncultured bacterium
Lineage: Bacteria
Description: partial 16S ribosomal RNA
Rfam family: Bacterial small subunit ribosomal RNA
Source: RNAcentral